GACGAACGCUGGCGGCGUGCUUAACACAUGCAAGUCGAACGGUAAGGCCCUUCGGGGUACACGAGUGGCGAACGGGUGAGUAACACGUGGGUGAUCUGCCCUGCACUUCGGGAUAAGCCUGGGAAACUGGGUCUAAUACCGGAUAGGACCACUGCCUGCAUGGGUGGUGGUGGAAAGCUUUUGCGGUGUGGGAUGGGCCCGCGGCCUAUCAGCUUGUUGGUGGGGUGAUGGCCUACCAAGGCGACGACGGGUAGCCGGCCGGGGAGGGUGACCGGCCACGCUGGGACUGAGAUACGGCCCAGACUCCUACGGGAGGCAGCAGUGGGGAAUAUUGCACAAUGGGCGCAAGCCUGAUGCAGCGACGCCGCGUGAGGGAUGACGGCCUUCGAGUUGUAAACCUCUUCCAGCACCGACGAAGCGCAAGUGACGGUAGGUGCAGAAGAAGGACCGGCCAACUACGUGCCAGCCGCCGCCGUAA
This 478-nucleotide ribosomal RNA is filed under the name uncultured bacterium. RNAcentral describes it as "partial 16S ribosomal RNA". It matches the Rfam family "Bacterial small subunit ribosomal RNA", at positions 28 to 523 of the family's 1533-position model. The record is from RNAcentral.